AUUCCAGCUCCAAUAGCGUAUAUUUAAGUUGUUGCAGUUAAAAAGCUCGUAGUUGGAUUUUGGGUCGGGGGCACCGGUCCGCCGUUCCGGUGUGCACUGGUGGCCCCUUCCUUUCUGCCGGGGACGUGCGUCGCACUUAAUUGGGUGGCGUUCGGAGUCGGCGUUGUUACUUUGAAAAAAUUAGAGUGUUCAAAGCAAGCCAUCGCUCUGAAUACAUUAGCAUGGAAUAACAUGAUAGGACUCUGGUCUUAUUUUGUUGGUUUCCGAGACUGGAGUAAUGAUUAAGAGGGACAGUCGGGGGCAUCCGUAUUUCAUUGUCAGAGGUGAAAUUCUUGGAUUUAUGAAAGACGAACUUCUGCGAAAGCAUUUGCCAAGGAUGUUUUCAUCG
This 388-nucleotide ribosomal RNA is filed under the name Prasinoderma sp. RNAcentral's name for it is "partial small subunit ribosomal RNA". It matches the Rfam family "Eukaryotic small subunit ribosomal RNA", at positions 582 to 975 of the family's 1831-position model. The record is from RNAcentral. Lineage: Eukaryota; Viridiplantae; Prasinodermophyta; Prasinodermophyceae; Prasinodermales; Prasinodermaceae.